CCACCCACGGCGAUAGGCUCACCCCUUCGCUCGCUACUCCAAACACCGCAUCACUUCCCCCAUCUCAUCCUCCUCCAUGUCGCUCCUAAGGUUUCACCUUGCCCCUCUCGCCAUGGUUUGUUAACUUCCUCUCUUGGCUUCUCCCAGUUCUCGCGAUCCGCUUCCUCGGCACGAUUCCGCUUGCGUCCACGGAUCGCCGGGUCCGAUGGGGCGGAAGAAGAAGAAGAACAGAUUCCUCGACCUGCGCCCGCUAAUUUUUCAUCUCGUCUCUAGUUUUCUGCCCUCGUAGGGCCUAAGCAAGAGUAGGUUUUGGUGGAAUUAGCUCGCGGACAGCGUAGCUGUUGGUGGCAAUCGGUUGGAUCGGUGCGGAGAGCGAUGGAAUCGCUCCGUAGGAAGAGGAAAGGUACUAAGUCAUCGUCUUUCGUCGAAUCGAACUUGUCCGAUGACCGGAAGUGCAAGAAGAAGUGCCGGGAGAUGGAAAAGGUUGGAUCUCGCAAUGGCGGCGGUGGGGGAGUCGUGAUGACCGCCCCGCCGAUCGGGUGUUCGUUGCCGGGUACACCUGCGCGGGGUUUGAAGAGAAAGCUGGGAUGCAUCGACUCUGCCACUCGGAUAGGGCGGAAGAAGAAACUGGAACAUGAGUACGUUCUCGGUCGGGAGAUCGGACAGGGGAAGUUCGGGUCGGUGAGGCUGUGCCGGAGCAAGGCCAGCGGCGAGGAGUUCGCCUGCAAGACGUUACCCAAGAACGGAGGGGAGACUGUGCACCGUGAAGUGGAGAUCAUGCAGCACCUGUCGGGCCACCCGGGUAUCGUGAUGCUGAAAUCGGUGUUCGAGGACUCCGACUGUUUCCAUUUGGUGAUGGAGCUGUGCUCCGGUGGGCGGGUUUUGGAUCGGAUGAUUAAGGAAGGGAAGUUCUCGGAGCAGAGAGUGGCGAUGAUGCUGAAAGAAUUGGUUUUGGUUAUCAAGUAUUGCCAUGAGAUGGGAGUCGUCCACCGGGAUAUAAAGCCCGAGAACAUCCUGCUCACGGGGUCAGGGAAGAUAAAGCUUGCUGACUUUGGAUUGGCUGUGCGGGUUACUGAUGGUCAGAGACUAUCUGGUGUUGCUGGGAGCCCGGCAUAUGUUGCCCCUGAAGUUCUGUCAGGACAUUACUCGGAGAAGGCAGACAUCUGGAGUGCUGGUGUCCUCCUACAUGCUUUGUUGAUUGGGUCUCUCCCCUUUCAAGGGGAUUCACUGGAAGCAGUUUUUGAGGCAAUAAAAAAUGUGGAACUUAAUUUCCACAGUGCUGCAUGGGAUUCAGUCUCAGAGCUUGCACGGGAUCUAAUCAGUCGGAUGCUAACUCGUGACACUUGUGCAAGGAUGACGGCCGAUGAAGUCCUGAGACAUCCAUGGAUUAUAUACAACACUGACCACCCUUCGAUCGGAUCACCUAAUCAUUCGAGGAUCGUAUUUGAUUCGGCAAAUGUCUCUUUAACAUUGGAAAAUUUUGGUACUGAUUCAGAGUUGCAGGAUGAUUCCGGCUUUGUGGAUGCUCUUGCGGUGGCAAUCUCACGCGUCACUAUAUCGGAGUCUAAGCGGAGUAGGUUCUGUAACCCUGCUCCCCCAAUUGAACCAGAGUGCUCCUCUAACAUGAAGGCUAACCUCUGCACUGCAUUCUAAGUAGCCUGUGUCUCAUUCUGCUGAGAAGAUUGACUUCUCUCUAUUACUUGAUUUGGCGAUAACACCAAGGGUAGGGUUUGAAAGCCUACUUGUGUAUAUGGCUAAAUAUCGUAAGACUUACUACUGCAUCAGUGUAGUGUAAGCUGUACAGAAACAUGCAUAUUUCCUGUAAAGAAGAUGGACAAAUCUCGAAAGUGAAGUAACAACAGCACUACUCAUCUGUUAUCAGAUAUGCUUACAACAGUGUCAAGCAAAUAUUUAUGUGUAGGAUAAAUAUUGAAUCC
Molecule: RNA transcript, 1937 nt
Organism: Musa acuminata AAA Group (dessert banana)
Lineage: Eukaryota; Viridiplantae; Streptophyta; Magnoliopsida; Zingiberales; Musaceae
Gene name: serine/threonine-protein kinase PEPKR2
Exons: 4
Source: RefSeq, a predicted model, not a curated record